GUUAAGUCGGUUGGGUGGAGGUUGGCGAGGUGAUUGCUUUCAAUGCCCAUGGCUUGAGACAGAUGCCCAUGGCAUGAAAACCUGGAUAGUCCUCUGGAUUGGGAACUGCAUCCUUACGGUUGUGGCCACGAUAAAAUGGAUAUCACACUUCUCCACUCCAAUCCCUUUUGCCUGUCUAGCACAGAAAGAAAUGGAUCACUUCCCAGAACUUGCAUCUCCCGGGGGUCAUGUUACCGGAAAUCCUCUUGAUCUCAGUGUGUGUGAGAGAGACUUAAAGACUCCCGAAUCCCUGUGAGAUCCUAUAUGGCCAUCAGUCCAAAAGCUGUCAACUUGUGAUAUGUGGUUCACCCCUGAUUGGAGGAAGAGCUCCUCUCCCUUCCAGGUGCUAUUCCCAAGGAAAUGCUUGGGCUAUUUAAUUCCACAAGGUGUUUCGAGAUCAUGACACCAGGAAGAAUUCAGCUGAACAACCAGAACUUCAGACAAGCGACCAAGAAAUGUUUUAGACUAUAUUUAAAACCAUGGCAAAACACCAUCACUUAACUACUUCUCAUCUGAAAAAAGAGAAAUAAUCAUCUGUUCUUCAAUUCAGUUACAUAGAACACAGAUACACAGAAAAUAACACAGUCAUAAUGGGACAUGUGAAGGAUAUAAAUAGUACUAAAAAUCUAAAUGAUUCCACAUUCUGGCACUGUAAUCAUUCUUCAGACAGUUGAAAUAUCAAGAAUGACAGCAUUUCAAGCAAAUGAGCUUGCCGUUGUCACACAGAGGGCAAUACUAGCUCUCUUAACUGUCAGAACUGCUGGUGGGCGAGCUCCCUGAAUGCACCUGCAACUGUGUGGGAACUAUUUUCCUGUUAUACUAUUCCAUAUUGCUGUAUAUCACAAUUCUGUGAGUGGUGCUGAUCAUAAGCAUUUUCUCACCACCCAUUUGCCAACUUACCAAUUAAGCAAAGGCUAUGUGAGUUUUGAGGAUGACUUUACAGAAAGAGAGGCAGCUUAACAUAGACACACUGGGAAGAGUUCCCAACAGAAAGAGAUUUAAAUCUCAGUCCAAAUUACUCUAUUGUCUAAAUAUAUGUGUUUCCUGUUUUUAUGGAUUUGUCAAUUAUGAGCCAACGGACCAAGAAAAAAGUACAAGUAGUAACACCCAACGGCUCUACAGGAUGCAGCAUCCUUGACCUUUCUGUAUUAAAGGUUCCUGCAAGAUAAGAGACAUCCGCACAAACUACAACUUUAGUAACAUUUGCAGAAAUCAUUUCUACUUACAAGUGAAAAUGGAAAUGGGGACUUGCAUUCCGACACACUGCAUUGUUAGCAAUUCUCUAUAGAGAACUGAAAGUAUAAAUAGAAAUCUUGACCAGCUUCAACAUCAGUACACAGCACUAAUAGUAAACAAAAGUUAGUACUGGUCUAGGAAUUCUCAAAAAGAAUGAAAUACAUCUGAGCUUCAAGAAAUGAACUGAAGAGAGUACAGGAAAAAAUGGGUCCAGAAAUAUCACCACCCUAGAAAUAAAAUUUUACUCGCUCUUCCUGUAACCUACUAAGAUCACAAUACAUGGUGUCCCAAUUAAAAGAGAAAGAAAGUUAGAAGAAAUGUGAUUUGUAUUUGGAAAAUGUCCAAGUAAUGUUCAGAACUGACAAUUUCAGGCAACUGAGCUAGAUAUAAU
Hemicordylus capensis (graceful crag lizard) is the source of this 1666-nucleotide long non-coding RNA. RefSeq lists it as uncharacterized. Lineage: Eukaryota; Metazoa; Chordata; Lepidosauria; Squamata; Cordylidae. The record is from RefSeq and is a predicted model, not a curated record. The transcript is spliced from 3 exons.